CGUACACUCCUGCGGGAGGCAGCAGUGGGGAAUUUUGGACAAUGGGCGAAAGCCUGAUCCAGCCAUGCCGCGUGCAGGAUGAAGGCCUUCGGGUUGUAAACUGCUUUUGUACGGAACGAAACGGCCUUUUCUAAUAAAGAGGGCUAAUGACGGUACCGUAAGAAUAAGCACCGGCUAACUACGUGCCAGCAGCCGCGGUAAUACGUAGGGUGCAAGCGUUAAUCGGAAUUACUGGGCGUAAAGCGUGCGCAGGCGGUUAUGUAAGACAGUUGUGAAAUCCCCGGGCUCAACCUGGGAACUGCAUCUGUGACUGCAUAGCUAGAGUACGGUAGAGGGGGAUGGAAUUCCGCGUGUAGCAGUGAAAUGCGUAGAUAUGCGGAGGAACACCGAUGGCGAAGGCAAUCCCCUGGACCUGUACUGACGCUCAUGCACGAAAGCGUGGGGAGCAAACAGGAUUAGAAACCCGAGUAGUCCCAUG
Molecule: ribosomal RNA, 478 nt
Filed under: uncultured organism
Description: partial 16S ribosomal RNA
Rfam family: Bacterial small subunit ribosomal RNA
Source: RNAcentral